Molecule: ribosomal RNA, 253 nt
Filed under: uncultured Prevotellaceae bacterium
Lineage: Bacteria; Pseudomonadati; Bacteroidota; Bacteroidia; Bacteroidales; Prevotellaceae
Description: partial 16S ribosomal RNA
Rfam family: Bacterial small subunit ribosomal RNA
Source: RNAcentral
UACGGAAGGUCCGGGCGUUAUCCGGAUUUAUUGGGUUUAAAGGGAGCGUAGGCCGGCUUUUAAGUCAGCUGUGAAAGUCCGCGGCUCAACCGUGGAAUUGCAGUUGAAACUGGAGGCCUUGAGUGCACACAGGGAUGCCGGAAUUCAUGGUGUAGCGGUGAAAUGCAUAGAUAUUACACAGAACACCGAUUGCGAAGGCAGCUUGCUAGGCCGGAUCUGACACUGAUGCACGAAAGCGUGGGGAUCGAACAGG